RNAcentral lists this long non-coding RNA (1215 nucleotides) under Marmota monax (woodchuck). Lineage: Eukaryota; Metazoa; Chordata; Mammalia; Rodentia; Sciuridae. The record is from RNAcentral.
AUUUUAUUUUUCAUCUGUUCUUCUGGUAAAUACAUAGGAAUGAUGUUCUGUCAGCAUGAAGUUUGAUAGGUCAAGGUAAACCAUUUUUAUUCUUGGUCUGUAUAAUAACUUCCACAUUUUGGCAAUAUAGAAUUUUCAUUUUUAAGAAAGUAUACAAAGAAAUUACUUCUCAGCAAGAUUAUGUAAAGGAAACAACUUGGUAGCCACACCAGUAUUACUAAUGGGCCUUUGGGGAGCAUAUGUUUUUGUUAAUUUAUUCACAUUUGAAUGGGGAAGAACAUAAACAUUUGUAAAUAACAAUAAAGAUGUAUACAUGGAACUGUAUAAAGUUCAGAGAAGAAAUAUAGUGAAAGAAGUGUGUUAAUGAAGAAUUCGUUCAGGAAAAAAAAUACAUUGAGACUUAAACCAUGGAUCUGAGUGUAUCAGGUUAUUAUGGCACUGAGUUGUUUUAAGAAAAAAGAAAAGUAUCGUCCAAGAUUUUUUUUUUUCAGGGGUGGGCAGUGUUGCUUUUAUGUAUUUAUUUUCCCAUAUUUGUAAUUGGUACAUUAUAAUUAUACAUAAUACUGGGAUUCAUUGUUAUAUACCCAUAUAACAACAUAAUUUAGCAUGGUCCAAGAUUAUUGGAGCCUAAGCUGAUUCCUAGCAAAUUUGAAAUUUUGAGUAUUUUCUGAAAUAUAGGGGACAGAUGAGAUCUGAUUGGCAAAACAGCAGUCAAACUUCAGGACCAGCAGUGAUAGAAACAUGGAGUUGGGGUGUGAGAAUGGAGGGAGUACAUAUGUCCUAAAAUAAAGGGUAACUGUUGGAGAAUGGAAUUUGAAACUUCUAGUUCAAUUGGUUUCUUUCCCCAUUCACUCUCUUCAAAACCAAGGGUACCCCAGAAAGGUAUUUGUCCCUUGCUAGCACAGUGACUGGAAGGUUGGGGCAGAUAAGCCAGGCAGUAACCCAGAAGGCUAUGUCCAGGAAAGGAAACCUAACUUCAUACUUACAACACAAGCCAGUGGCAUACCCUGUCCAAGAUUAUAUUUUAUUCUUCCCUUACAAUCACUAGAGCAAACUAUGUUGAUCAGAAAUGAUAUCAUGUACAUAGAACAGGAAAUACCAACACAAAAACAAAAUCAAAGCCAGGCGUGGUGACGCACACUUAUAAUCCCAGCAGCUUGGGAGGCUGAGAAGGUUCAAAGCUAGCCUCAACAAUUUAACAAGGCCCUAAGGAAC